AUUGAACGCUGGCGGCAGGCUUAACACAUGCAAGUCGAGCGGAGAUGAGGUGCUUGCACCUUAUCUUAGCGGCGGAUGGGUGAGUAAUGCUUAGGAAUCUGCCUAUUAGUGGGGGACAACAUUCCGAAAGGAAUGCUAAUACCGCAUACGUCCUACGGGAGAAAGCAGGGGAUCUGCGGACCUUGCGCUAAUAGAUGAGCCUAAGUCGGAUUAGCUAGUUGGUGGGGUAAAGGCCUACCAAGGCGACGAUCUGUAGCGGGUCUGAGAGGAUGAUCCGCCACACUGGGACUGAGACACGGCCCAGACUCCUACGGGAGGCAGCAGUGGGGAAUAUUGGACAAUUGGGGGAACCCUGAUCCAGCCAUGCCGCGUGUGUGAAGAAGGCCUUAUGGUUGUAAAGCACUUUAAGCGAGGAGGAGGCUACUGAGACUAAUACUCUUGGAUAGUGGACGUUACUCGCAGAAUAAGCACCGGCUAACUCUGUGCCAGCAGCCGCGGUAA
This 501-nucleotide ribosomal RNA is filed under the name uncultured bacterium. RNAcentral's name for it is "partial 16S ribosomal RNA". It matches the Rfam family "Bacterial small subunit ribosomal RNA", at positions 30 to 523 of the family's 1533-position model. The record is from RNAcentral.